AGACCCGAAACCCGGUGAUCUAGCCAUGGGCAGGUUGAAGGUUGGGUAACACUAACUGGAGGACCGAACCGACUAAUGUUGAAAAAUUAGCGGAUGACCUGUGGCUGGGGGUGAAAGGCCAAUCAAACCGGGAGAUAGCUGGUUCUCCCCGAAAGCUAUUUAGGUAGCGCCUCGUGAAUUCAUCUCCGGGGGUAGAGCACUGUUUCGGCUAGGGGGCCAUCCCGGCUUACCAACCCGAUGCAAACUGCGAAUACCGGAGAAUGUUAUCACGGGAGACACACGGCGGGUGCUAACGUCCGUCGUGAAGAGGGAAACAACCCAGACCGCCAGCUAAGGUCCCAAAGUCAUGGUUAAGUGGGAAACGAUGUGGGAAGGCCCAGACAGCCAGGAUGUUGGCUUAGAAGCAGCCAUCAUUUAAAGAAAGCGUAAUAGCUCACUGGUCGAGUCGGCCUGCGCGGAAGAUGUAACGGGGCUAAACCAUGCACCGAAGCUGCGGCAGCGACACUCAGGUGUCGUUGGGUAGGGGAGCGUUCUGUAAGCCUGCGAAGGUGGCCUGUGAGGGUUGCUGGAGGUAUCAGAAGUGCGAAUGCUGACAUAAGUAACGAUAAAGCGGGUGAAAAGCCCGCUCGCCGGAAGACCAAGGGUUCCUGUCCAACGUUAAUCGGGGCAGGGUGAGUCGACCCCUAAGGCGAGGCCGAAAGGCGUAGUCGAUGGGAAACGGGUUAAUAUUCCCGUACUUGGUGUUACUGCGAAGGGGGGACGGAGAAGGCUAUGUUGGCCGGGCGACGGUUGUCCCGGUUUAAGCGUGUAGGUGUGUGUUCCAGGUAAAUCCGGUUCACUUUAAC
Molecule: ribosomal RNA, 845 nt
Filed under: Salmonella enterica
Lineage: Bacteria; Pseudomonadati; Pseudomonadota; Gammaproteobacteria; Enterobacterales; Enterobacteriaceae
Description: partial 23S ribosomal RNA
Rfam family: Bacterial large subunit ribosomal RNA
Source: RNAcentral